RNAcentral lists this ribosomal RNA (459 nucleotides) under uncultured bacterium. RNAcentral describes it as "partial 16S ribosomal RNA". It matches the Rfam family "Bacterial small subunit ribosomal RNA", at positions 338 to 795 of the family's 1533-position model. The record is from RNAcentral.
CCUACGGGUGGCAGCAGUGAGGAAUAUUGGUCAAUGGCCGAGAGGCUGAACCAGCCAAGUCGCGUGAGGGAUGACGGCCCUACGGGUUGUAAACCUCUUUUGUCGGGGAGCAAAGCGAGUCACGUGUGACUCAUUGAGUGUACCCGAAGAAAAAGCAUCGGCUAACUCCGUGCCAGCAGCCGCGGUAAUACGGAGGAUGCGAGCGUUAUCCGGAUUUAUUGGGUUUAAAGGGUGCGCAGGCGGAGGUGCAAGUCAGCGGUAAAAUUGCGGGGCUCAACCCCGUACUGCCGUUGAAACUGCAUCCCUUGAGUGCGCGAGAAGUAUGCGGAAUGCGUGGUGUAGCGGUGAAAUGCAUAGAUAUCACGAAGAACUCCGAUUGCGAAGGCAGCAUACCGGAGCGCAACUGACGCUGAUGCACGAAAGCGUGGGUAUCGAACAGGAUUAGAUACCCUAGUAGUC